This is a long non-coding RNA of Gasterosteus aculeatus aculeatus (three-spined stickleback), 1631 nucleotides long. The record is from Ensembl. Lineage: Eukaryota; Metazoa; Chordata; Actinopteri; Perciformes; Gasterosteidae.
AGCGAAUGGGUGUGUUGAUCAAAUUAAUUGACCAAUAAUUUCAUUUUUGAUUUGUGUUAUUUUUAUGUUGAUGUGUACGUGGGAGAGAAAGUAAGGCCUGCAGCGUUAUAACCAAGUUUGAAAAUGAAAAGGCGUUCCACAAAAUUUGCAUGUGGAGGAUUAUAGAAUAGGAUGUUAACGAGCAAUCCUGACCUUUUAUUGUUAAAGAUAAAGGUAACCUAGCAACCAACCUACAUCCUCUUUACAUUGACAACGCAUAUUUGUUUUCAGGCGUGUUUAUCAUUUCCCAAAGGCUGCUGGGAUUCCGACGUGGACAGAAAUCAUUUCUGUGUUCUAAACCCCUGUGGUCAAAGGAACACGUAUCAGCGUUGACGGAGCCUCUGUCGGUCUGCUCUGCUGCCUUUGCAGCUCCCGCAUUCUGCUUUCACCCACUUGUUGUUUCGUUUCGUUGUGCGCCUACUGUGGACAUUCCUAAACCGCCUAAAACUCCUGUCUAUGAAGGUCAAAUGAUUCCUACGGACACCAACAGGGACUGGAAUCAUGUUUGACUUUUAGCUGAGUGUGCAAACACAGUGCUCACUUCAGUUGUUCCUGCAGUGCCCGCACAGGACCAACGUCCAGAUGGGAAGCAAUUUUAGCGGUUGUCUUACUCUUGCGUAUUUUUUACUUUUUGCAUUUCUUAGUUGUAUUAGUUGUGUCCUGUCGCCCAAAGAUCAUUCAUUCAUCACUUUUCAAUCUAAAUAUUUUCUCUUCAUUUUAAAAACAAUAUUUCUACCUGUAGCUCUGUUUCAAAUGCCCUUUUUGAUUACAUUACGUUGGCAAAUAUAUCUGUAUUUGUAUAUUGCCUAUCUAGUCAUUGAAAGCAUUUUUACACAACAUGUCUUUCACUCAUUCACACCCACACCUACACUAUUGGCACCGGCUGCAACGUGCCACCUGCCCAUCAGGACUACACAUUCGCACCCAGCUAUACACCCCAGUCACAGCCUUUGGGAGCUUUCUGAAUACAUUGAACAUUAAUACCCAUUGAAAAUAGUGAAUACUUCAGUCAAUCUUCAAAUAAAUAUGUAAUCUUAGUCAAACUUAGUCAAUCCGUCUCCCUUCUGGAGAUGGCAAUAUAAGACUGGGGUCUCAGCCAGAUGUUCCCCGUUAACCCUUAUUACAAGUGAGCCCAGCUAUAUGUAGUUGAUGCCACUACACCUCCCUUACCAUCUUUGGUUUCUGAAGAGGUGACUUCUGCUGUGGCUUUACCAGAGCCCGGUGCCUUUCUCUGUGAGUGUUGCGCCCACAGAGUGGUGGCUGCAUGCAGAGCUUGCAGGCUGUGCCCCAUACGAGCUCCAUGUGUCAAAGCCAGGCCUAAAGACACUUAAAGGUGCGCUCCCAUCCUAGCUGAGGCUUCUGAAGGGAGGAUGGGUUCUGUUUUCUUGAAAAUGUAUACAGAUGGGUCAGCGAAUCCCUCUUGGUCCUCCUCAUUUGAGUCACACAGGCACACACAUGCAUUAACGUGGUAAUACAAAUUAAAGAUCUAGUCUAAAAAAAGAGUGCUGUAUAAAAUCAGUAUAAGAAGUGUGAUAUGUAAAAUGUAUAUGCAUACAAAACAUUCUAUCAUUAAGCAUAUUGUAUUACAGAGC